AACGAACGCUGGCGGCAGGCCUAACACAUGCAAGUCGAGCGAGACCUUCGGGUCUAGCGGCGGACGGGUUAGUAACGCGUGGGAACGUGCCCUUCUCUGCGGAAUAGCCACUGGAAACGGUGAGUAAUACCGCAUACGCCCUUCGGGGGAAAGAUUUAUCGGAGAAGGAUCGGCCCGCGUUAGAUUAGAUAGUUGGUGGGUAACGGCCUACCAAGUCUACGAUCUAUAGCUGGUUUUAGAGGAUGAUCAGCAACACUGGGACUGAGACACGGCCCAGACUCCUACGGGAGGCAGCAGUGGGGAAUCUUAGACAAUGGGCGCAAGCCUGAUCUAGCCAUGCCGCGUGUGUGAUGAAGGUCUUAGGAUCGUAAAGCACUUUCGCCAGGGAUGAUAAUGACAGUACCUGGUAAAGAAACCCCGGCUAACUCCGCG
RNAcentral lists this ribosomal RNA (432 nucleotides) under uncultured bacterium. RNAcentral describes it as "bacterial SSU rRNA". It matches the Rfam family "Bacterial small subunit ribosomal RNA", at positions 29 to 507 of the family's 1533-position model. The record is from RNAcentral.